GACACAUUACAUGGUUAUCAAUUAGUUUUAAUGCAUGAUAUGGGUACUUCCACGUCCCCACUCUUCCCCUAUAAGAGUCCUCAGCAGAUACUCAAACUCUACACCAAACCAAACUCCAGAUUUUCUUCACUAAAUUCUCUAUAGCCUCAUCGCAAAUUCCAUAAUCCCAGCUCCUUACCGGGAGCACCAACCACUCUUCUCUUCCUCAAUCAUUCUACAGAAAGAAAACUCCAUCAUAUUAUCUUCUAAUUCCCAGCAAACACACAACAAGCUGCACUCACAUGAAUAACAUUCUUUCUGCUAACUCAAACACAGCAGCAUCCCUUACUCGAUACCAUCAUCGCUACAGCAAAAACACUGCUUUAUAGCAAAAUCUUUGAAGAAGGUCCACUUGAGAGAAGGAAUUAGCUUUGCGUUUACAAGAAGAGAAUUGUACAUCUUUUAUCUACAAGCUUGUUCUAUCGAGGUUGAGCGGCAGGUGGUGACGUGCGAGGCUGAGGGAGGAUGUUGCUGUAGUUUCAUAUAAUAAUUUAUGCUGCCAUAAUAUUCACUAAGGUGGAUAUCUUUUGAGAUUGACUCUUUAAAUAUUCUUAGCCUAAUUAUUAUGAACUCUUUUGGCAAUCGCAUUUCUAGCAACUGAACCUCGCAUAUAUGUAUGUCUAGUAUGAAAUGUUAUCUUGUUGUCUCAGACCUCCGAACUUUUGAUCCUGGUUGGGAGAAUUUCUAUCUUAGUUGUCGUAAUUAUUAUCCUUCAAUUACGAAAUUCCUUUAUUAUGAAUGUGUCACCCAAAUCUAAGGACAUAUCACCUAUUUUAUCCGAGCAAAGUCUAGAAAUCCCAUUAAGUAGCACAUUUCCUAUUCUCCCGGGAACGAGGGCUGUCACAGGCGGCACUUCGCCGGGGAAGACGAGAGAUCGAGGGAGGCGGCGGCGCCUCGCCGUCGCCAAGGAGGAAGGCGGAGGCGGUGAUUCUCGCCGCUGCUUCGCCGUUUCUUUCGUGGGUAUUGGUGAGCUGAAUGGUGUGGUGCGACGAGGGAGAUGAAGGCGGGGUGAUCGGCGGCGGUCGCCGUCGGAGGAGAUUCGAGGGAGAGAGAGAGAGGCGGAUCUGGGUGGUGAGCAGAGAGAGAGAGAGAAAGCUGAGAGUGUGAGUGUGUGUGCGUGUUUGACUCUGAAAAAAAAAGGGGGAAAAAGGGAGUUUGAGGUUGGGCCGAUUUUAAUAAGUGUUUGGGCUUGUUUUUAUAUUUUAAUAGGGCCACGUCUUAUUUAUUUGAGGUGGGCUACGAAUUUUUUUAACAAAAGGGCUUCUCAUUUCAAUUGUGGGCUGAUUUAUAUUAUUAAGUUAGACCGAUUCUUUGAUUUAAGCUUGGGCCUGUUCUAUUUAUUUAUAAUGGGCUAAUAUGUUUUUAGUUAACUAGACUUUUAAUAGUUGAUUAAUUAUUAUUUUAAUGAAUAAUUUGCAUAAUAAUAUUAUAUUAUUAUUAUGUGCAUAUUUUAAGUUAUUACUUAUCAUAUGUUUAAAGCAUGACAUGUAUUGCAUUUACGUUUUGCAAUAAAAGCAUUUAUGAUUUAAUUGAUUUUAUUUAUAAUUCCAAUUAUUAAAGAAAAAUCAAGUAAGGAUAUUGUUGGUGUCCUUAGCUUAAGAAUUUGUUUUCGAUCUUCUUCAUUAAAUUUUGAAAACCCGGUGUGAUGAAUCAUAGAAUGUUAAGCACUUCACUAUGACUUAAGAUUAGAUUCAGGAGACCUAUUAAGAUAAUAGAUUUCUUGUAGGCUUUGUGGACCAAGGGAAUUAGCGUUGCUUUCACAAGACAGGUUUCCAUGUUUAUGAUCUUCAGGCUUUGCCUAAUCAGGUUGGCUGGCUGGUGCUGACGGGACUGAACUGAGGCUAGGGUUCAACUUCCUUUUAAGACUUCCGUUGUAGCAGUAAAUAAUAUCUUGUCUUUUGUUUUCUCAACUUAAGACUUUCAUAUCAAAUUUAGAAUGACAUCUCUGAUUGAGCCUAAACACUUAACUCCUAGUUUUAUGCUAAUGAAUACUGGUUAUCAGAAGCAUGAAACAAAACUUGUGAUCCAAAGGGGCCUAGCCCGACUUGUUACCUUCUAUUCGGUUUCAACAAGGAUUUUUCCUUGUGUUAUUUUCAUGAUUUAGUUGCACCUCGAUUGUUACCUUCUAUUCGGUUUCAACAAUGAUCAUGUUUUUGGAGCUAUCAGAGAUGUCCUCAUUGAAAAUUUCAAAAGAGGAGAAUCUUCUUCUGCUUCUAAUCAGAAGAUAUGAUGAGCAAGUUCAAGAGAGCAAUAAUAUUGCUUGUGGAAGAAAAAUUUGAAGAUAUUGAUCGAGAAAGACAUGAUAAUACCUUUAGAUAGUCUAUAAGGCAUGAUAAUACCAUUAGACUUUAGAUAGUCUAGAUAAGGUAUGAUAAUACCUUUAGAAAAUUUUUAUUUUCUAUUGAUGUAAAAAUUUUUAGUUUGACUUUUGUAAAAUAUUUAGUACUAUAAAUAAUUGUGUAUGGAUGAAGAGAAGGGCAUUCUCUUUCUCCCGUAGUUCUUCCUUUCUCUUUGUUUUCUUCAUUGUAAAAUAUUUGUGCUUGAAGUGGUGUAUCGCAAUAAAAGCUUCCAUUUUGUAA
Long non-coding RNA from Salvia miltiorrhiza (redroot sage), 2618 nucleotides. RefSeq lists it as uncharacterized. NCBI's taxonomy places the organism in Eukaryota, Viridiplantae, Streptophyta, Magnoliopsida, Lamiales, Lamiaceae. The transcript has 4 exons. The record is from RefSeq and is a predicted model, not a curated record.